RNAcentral lists this ribosomal RNA (498 nucleotides) under uncultured bacterium. Its description in RNAcentral is "bacterial SSU rRNA". It matches the Rfam family "Bacterial small subunit ribosomal RNA", at positions 28 to 507 of the family's 1533-position model. The record is from RNAcentral.
GGCUAACGCUGGCGGCGUGUCUUAGCCAUGCAAGUCGAGCGGACUUAUGGGGUAACUUAUAAGUCAGCGGCGGACGGCGGAGUAACACGUAGCUAACCUACCCUCUGGACGGGGAUAACCUGCCGAAAGGUGGGCUAAUACCCGAUGUAGUCAUCCUGUAUAGGGGUGAUGAAAGGUGGGCUUCUGUUUACAAGCUCAUGCUGGAGGAGGGGGCUGCGGCCUAUCAGGUAGUUGGUAGGGUAAUAGCCUACCAAGCCGAUGACGGGUAGCCGGCCUGAGAGGGUGACCGGCCCGAGGGGCACUGAGAUACGGGUCCCACUCCUACGGGAGGCAGCAGGCUAGAAAUUUGGGCAAUGGGGGAAACCCUGACCCAGUGACGCCGCGUGCAGGAAGGAGCCCUUCGGGGUGUAAACUGCUGUCGUGUAGGGAGAAGGGUACUAAGGUGAACAAUCUUAGUACUUGACGGUACUACAGGAGGAAGCCCAGGCUAACCUCGUG